This 460-nucleotide ribosomal RNA is filed under the name uncultured bacterium. RNAcentral describes it as "partial 16S ribosomal RNA". It matches the Rfam family "Bacterial small subunit ribosomal RNA", at positions 338 to 795 of the family's 1533-position model. The record is from RNAcentral.
CCUACGGGAGGCAGCAGUGAGGAAUAUUGGUCAAUGGCCGGAAGGCUGAACCAGCCAUGCCGCGUGAAGGUCAGUGCCCUAUGGGCGUUAAACUUCUUUUGUGCGGGAGCAAUUAUGGUCACGUGUGGCCAGACGAGAGUACCGUACGAAUAAGCAUCGGCUAACUCCGUGCCAGCAGCCGCGGUAAUACGGGGGAUGCAAGCGUUAUCCGGAUUUUUUGGGUUUAAAGGGUGCGUAGGCUGUGAGGUAAGUCAGAGGUGAAAUGCCCCCGCUCAACGGGGUACAGUGCCAUUGAUACUGCCUUGCUGGAAUGCGGAUGACGUAGGAGGAAUGUGUGGUGUAGCGGUGAAAUGCAUAGAUAUCACACAGAACACCGAUUGCGAAGGCAUCUCACGAGUCCGCGAUUGACGCUGAUGCACGAGAGCGUGGGUAUCAAACAGGAUUAGAUACCCCAGUAGUC